RNAcentral lists this transfer RNA (74 nucleotides) under Anaerolineales bacterium. Its description in RNAcentral is "tRNA-Phe". It matches the Rfam family "tRNA". From Rfam's summary of the family: Transfer RNA (tRNA) molecules are approximately 80 nucleotides in length. Their secondary structure includes four short double-helical elements and three loops (D, anti-codon, and T loops). The record is from RNAcentral. Lineage: Bacteria; Bacillati; Chloroflexota; Anaerolineae; Anaerolineales.
GCCGAGGUAGCUCAGCCCGGUAGAGCACCUGACUGAAAAUCAGGGAGUCCUGGGUCCAAAUCCCAGCCUCGGCA